GGUCAAGUGAAGAAGCGCAUACGGUGGAUGCCUUGGCAGUCAGAGGCGAUGAAAGACGUGGUAGCCUGCGAUAAGCUUUGGGGAGUCGGCAAACAGACUGUGAUCCAGAGAUCUCUGAAUGGGGGAACCCACUCAGCAUAAGCUGAGUAUCUUGUACUGAAUACAUAGGUGCAAGAGGCGAACCAGGGGAACUGAAACAUCUAAGUACCCUGAGGAAAAGAAAUCAACCGAGAUUCCCUUAGUAGUGGCGAGCGAACGGGGACCAGCCCUUAAGUUGAUUUGAGAUUAGUGGAACGCUCUGGAAAGUGCGGCCAUAGUGGGUGAUAGCCCCGUACACGAAAAUCUCUUGUCAAUGAAAUCGAGUAGGACGGAGCACGAGAAACUUUGUCUGAAUAUGGGGGGACCAUCCUCCAAGGCUAAAUAC
This 424-nucleotide ribosomal RNA is filed under the name Escherichia coli. RNAcentral's name for it is "partial 23S ribosomal RNA". It matches the Rfam family "Bacterial large subunit ribosomal RNA", at positions 1 to 473 of the family's 2925-position model. The record is from RNAcentral. Lineage: Bacteria; Pseudomonadati; Pseudomonadota; Gammaproteobacteria; Enterobacterales; Enterobacteriaceae.